RNAcentral lists this ribosomal RNA (278 nucleotides) under Candida tropicalis. RNAcentral describes it as "partial large subunit ribosomal RNA". It matches the Rfam family "Eukaryotic large subunit ribosomal RNA", at positions 304 to 591 of the family's 3401-position model. Lineage: Eukaryota; Fungi; Ascomycota; Pichiomycetes; Serinales; Debaryomycetaceae. The record is from RNAcentral.
UUCCAUCUAAAGCUAAAUAUUGGCGAGAGACCGAUAGCGAACAAGUACAGUGAUGGAAAGAUGAAAAGAACUUUGAAAAGAGAGUGAAAAAGUACGUGAAAUUGUUGAAAGGGAAGGGCUUGAGAUCAGACUUGGUAUUUUGUAUGUUACUUCUUCGGGGGUGGCCUCUACAGUUUAUCGGGCCAGCAUCAGUUUGGGCGGUAGGAGAAUUGCGUUGGAAUGUGGCACGGCUUCGGUUGUGUGUUAUAGCCUUCGUCGAUACUGCCAGCCUAGACUGA